RNAcentral lists this ribosomal RNA (505 nucleotides) under uncultured bacterium. RNAcentral describes it as "partial 16S ribosomal RNA". It matches the Rfam family "Bacterial small subunit ribosomal RNA", at positions 28 to 507 of the family's 1533-position model. The record is from RNAcentral.
GACGAACGCUGGCGGCGUGCCUAAUACAUGCAAGUCGAACGCACAGUUUAUACCGUAGCUUGCUACACCAUAGACUGUGAGUUGCGAACGGGUGAGUAACUCGUAGGUAACCUGCCUGGUAGCUGGGGAUAACUAUUGGAAACGCUAGCUAAUACCGCAUAAUAUUAAUUAUUGCAUGAUAAUUAAUUGAAAGGUGCAAUUGCACCACUACCAGAUGGACCUGCGUUGUAUUAGCUAGUAGGUGAGGUAACGGCUCACCUAGGCGACGAUACAUAGCCGACUGGCGAGGGUGAUAGGCCAAACUGGGACUGAGACACGGCCCAGAAUACUACGAGAGGCAGAAGUAGGGAAUCUCCGGGAAUGGAAGAAAGUCUGAACGAGCAACGCCGCGUGAGAGACGAAGGUUUUCGGAUCGUAAAGGUCUGUUGUAAGAGAAGAACGGAUGUGAGAGUGGAAAGUUCACACUGUGACGGUACCUUAACAGAAAGCGACGGCUAACUACGUG